GCAGCCCGCGUCCUCCGAGCGUUUCGCUUCUCCUUAGCAAAAACGUGAAGUGUAAAAUUAGAUUUUACACGUGCUGGUAGAAAGCAAAGUGCGUGCAGAGUAAGGGGAGAAGUAAAUAACCCAAAAUUCAGUGGUGGUUAAACUGCACAACGCUGCUGCGUCUGUGGGAAUGGGUUGCCAAAACGAGCGGAGGGACGCGGGCCUUGAGUUUUCUGUGACGUGGGCACGGGGCAAACUGCAGGAGAGGAACGUGAAAGAUGAAAUACGGCCAACACUGCUCCCCAGCCCAGCUGCCUGGAGCACCUGACUGCGGAGUUGCACAUGUGCUUAACUUUAUUGAUUAAGCCAAAGAGAGACACAGCUCAUUACUUCAGAAACCACAUUUUCAUCACCAAUUUGUGGUCUCUCUGCAGGAAGGCGCAAGGCGAAGCAGGCAACAAUCUGCUUUAACCUUUCUUUAGACAAGAAACAAAAUCUUGUUUUUCUCAGUAACUCCUACUGAGCUACUUGUCUGAGGCAGAGCAAAGGAGACCAGAACUACGGGUCCAUGUGAGAAAGCCUGACAGCAGAAAGUUGGUGGACAUGAAGUGUGAGCAUUAGAGAGGAAAAGUGUGGCAUAUGUGGAUGGGCUCUUGUGGACUGGUUGCAUGAGUCAACACAAGACUGCCUACCUGAGAGUGUGGGACAGUAAAUGAAAGGGGAUUGCUGGGAAACAGAGAACAGGUAGAGCUCUACAAGCACACAUCCUGCGUAUCUCUGACAUACGUUAGACAAGACACUUCAAGAAGCCUGGGUAUGAGCUGUGCAGGAUGACUGACAACUGCAGUGUCAUAACAUCAAAACCUGUCCUUUCCUUAUUCUGAGUUCCAGGCAACGGCACUGAUUAUUGCUGUUACUUGGGCCCUUUAGCUACUAUUGCAAAAA
Tympanuchus pallidicinctus (lesser prairie-chicken) is the source of this 924-nucleotide long non-coding RNA. RefSeq lists it as uncharacterized. The record is from RefSeq and is a predicted model, not a curated record. The transcript is spliced from 3 exons. NCBI's taxonomy places the organism in Eukaryota, Metazoa, Chordata, Aves, Galliformes, Phasianidae.